RNAcentral lists this ribosomal RNA (269 nucleotides) under uncultured prokaryote. RNAcentral's name for it is "partial 16S ribosomal RNA". It matches the Rfam family "Bacterial small subunit ribosomal RNA", at positions 524 to 792 of the family's 1533-position model. The record is from RNAcentral.
AACGUAGGAGGCGAGCGUUAUCCGGAUUUAUUGGGCGUAAAGGGCAUGCAGGUGGUUUCGUUAGUCGGAUGUGAAAGCCUCUGGCUCAACUGGAGGAGGUCGUUCGAUACUGCGAAACUAGAGGUCGGGAGAGGAAAGUGGAAUUCCCGGUGUAGUGGUGGAAUGCGUAGAUAUCGGGAGGAACACCAGUGGCGAAGGCGACUUUCUGGCCCGCACCUGACACUAAGAUGCGAAAGCGUGGGGAGCAAACGGGAUUAGAUACCCCCGUA